ACGGAGGGGGCAAGCGUUGUUCGGAGUUACUGGGCGUAAAGGGCGCGUAGGCGGUGCAACAAGUCAGGCGUGAAAGCCCCGGGCUUAACCUGGGAAUUGCGCUUGAUACUGUUGCGCUAGAGAUCGGGAGAGGAUGGCGGAAUUCCCAGUGUAGAGGUGAAAUUCGUAGAUAUUGGGAAGAACACCGGUGGCGAAGGCGGCCAUCUGGACCGCAUCUGACGCUGAGGCGCGAAAGCUAGGGGAGCAAACGGGA
RNAcentral lists this ribosomal RNA (253 nucleotides) under uncultured prokaryote. RNAcentral describes it as "partial 16S ribosomal RNA". It matches the Rfam family "Bacterial small subunit ribosomal RNA", at positions 525 to 777 of the family's 1533-position model. The record is from RNAcentral.